Molecule: transfer RNA, 73 nt
Filed under: Sphaerodactylus townsendi
Lineage: Eukaryota; Metazoa; Chordata; Lepidosauria; Squamata; Sphaerodactylidae
Description: tRNA-Ala
Rfam family: tRNA
About the family: Transfer RNA (tRNA) molecules are approximately 80 nucleotides in length. Their secondary structure includes four short double-helical elements and three loops (D, anti-codon, and T loops).
Source: RNAcentral
GGGGCUGUGGCUUAGUGGCAGAGUGACUGCUUGGCAUGCAGAAGGGGCCUGGUUCAAUCCCCAGCAUUUUUCA